CUGGGGGGUAAAACCAGAAUUAUUUUGUCUGACAGCUGAGCCCGUAUACUUGUGAUCCCUGACAGGGCUCUGAACACAGCUCUGUCCCCGCUCAGAGACCCUGGAGAGACCUGUGGCUAUUCCUUCAGAGUUAUCCACUGAAAUCAAUAAUUUUGAUCUAUUUUUCUUACUUUUUCCCUUUACUUUUAAAGACGUCCUACUUCCGGCCCCGCGGUGCCCUCAGCGCUUCCCGCCUCGGCACGGCCCCUCCCGGCUCCUCCCGCCUCCCGCUCCGGCUCCUCCCGCCUCAGCGCUUCCCGCCGGCUCCCUCAGGAGCUACCGGGAGUCAGGAGCCGCUGCAGCCCUCGGCGGCCGCCGGAGCCCCGCUCCCGCCAGGAGAGGAGGAUGAGGUGAGAGCGCGGUGGAGGGACGGACAACAGCGGGGCAGCGGCCGCCUUAGAGCUGCUGGAGAAGUCUACAGAAGGUUUCUUCCUCCUGGCCAAUGCACUCUAUGAUGAUUCAGCUGCUCAUAAAGCUCUGGAUGGAGCUGGUGAGCUCCAGAGCUGUGUGAGACACACUGGGAACUUACUGCAAUCUGGAUGUGGAAACAUCUGCACUGUGUGAUACCAGUUAAAUGGCUGCUCACAUGUUUCUCUGGUGAGUA
Molecule: long non-coding RNA, 643 nt
Filed under: Serinus canaria (Common canary)
Lineage: Eukaryota; Metazoa; Chordata; Aves; Passeriformes; Fringillidae
Description: lncRNA (ENSSCAG00000009068.1)
Source: RNAcentral